UACACUCCUACGGGAGGCAGCAGUGGGGAAUAUUGCACAAUGGGCGCAAGCCUGAUGCAGCCAUGCCGCGUGUAUGAAGAAGGCCUUCGGGUUGUAAAGUACUUUCAGCGGGGAGGAAGGCGAUAAGGUUAAUAACCUUGUCGAUUGACGUUACCCGCAGAAGAAGCACCGGCUAACUCCGUGCCAGCAGCCGCGGUAAUACGGAGGGUGCAAGCGUUAAUCGGAAUUACUGGGCGUAAAGCGCACGCAGGCGGUCUGUCAAGUCGGAUGUGAAAUCCCCGGGCUCAACCUGGGAACUGCAUUCGAAACUGGCAGGCUAGAGUCUUGUAGAGGGGGGUAGAAUUCCAGGUGUAGCGGUGAAAUGCGUAGAGAUCUGGAGGAAUACCGGUGGCGAAGGCGGCCCCCUGGACAAAGACUGACGCUCAGGUGCGAAAGCGUGGGGAGCAAACAGGAUUAGAUACCCGAGUAGUCCCAUG
RNAcentral lists this ribosomal RNA (476 nucleotides) under uncultured organism. Its description in RNAcentral is "partial 16S ribosomal RNA". It matches the Rfam family "Bacterial small subunit ribosomal RNA", at positions 332 to 799 of the family's 1533-position model. The record is from RNAcentral.